GGGCAUGUGGUGUAGUUGGUUAUCACGCUCGCUUAGCAAAUCUGCUUGAACUUGCGAGAGGGGUCCGGUUCAAUCCCGGACAUGUCCA
Molecule: transfer RNA, 88 nt
Filed under: Panus rudis PR-1116 ss-1
Lineage: Eukaryota; Fungi; Basidiomycota; Agaricomycetes; Polyporales; Panaceae
Description: tRNA-Ala
Rfam family: tRNA
About the family: Transfer RNA (tRNA) molecules are approximately 80 nucleotides in length. Their secondary structure includes four short double-helical elements and three loops (D, anti-codon, and T loops).
Source: RNAcentral